RNAcentral lists this ribosomal RNA (835 nucleotides) under Micromonospora sp. IM-1514. Its description in RNAcentral is "bacterial SSU rRNA". It matches the Rfam family "Bacterial small subunit ribosomal RNA", at positions 38 to 889 of the family's 1533-position model. Lineage: Bacteria; Bacillati; Actinomycetota; Actinomycetes; Micromonosporales; Micromonosporaceae. The record is from RNAcentral.
GGCGGCGUGCUUAACACAUGCAAGUCGAGCGGAAAGGCCCUUCGGGGUACUCGAGCGGCGAACGGGUGAGUAACACGUGAGCAACCUGCCCCAGGCUUUGGGAUAACCCCGGGAAACCGGGGCUAAUACCGAAUAUGACCUCUGACCGCAUGGUUGGUGGUGGAAAGUUUUUCGGCUUGGGAUGGGCUCGCGGUCUAUCUGCUUGUUGGUGGGGUGAUGGCCUACCAAGGCGACGACGGGUAGCCGGCCUGAGAGGGCGACCGGCCACACUGGGACUGAGACACGGCCCAGACUCCUACGGGAGGCAGCAGUGGGGAAUAUUGCACAAUGGGCGGAAGCCUGAUGCAGCGACGCCGCGUGAGGGAUGACGGCCUUCGGGUUGUAAACCUCUUUCAGCAGGGACGAAGCGUAAGUGACGGUACCUGCAGAAGAAGCGCCGGCCAACUACGUGCCAGCAGCCGCGGUAAGACGUAGGGCGCGAGCGUUGUCCGGAUUUAUUGGGCGUAAAGAGCUCGUAGGCGGCUUGUCGCGUCGACCGUGAAAACUUGGGGCUCAACCCCAAGCCUGCGGUCGAUACGGGCAGGCUAGAGUUCGGUAGGGGAGACUGGAAUUCCUGGUGUAGCGGUGAAAUGCGCAGAUAUCAGGAGGAACACCGGUGGCGAAGGCGGGUCUCUGGGCCGAUACUGACGCUGAGGAGCGAAAGCGUGGGGAGCGAACAGGAUUAGAUACCCUGGUAGUCCACGCUGUAAACGUUGGGCGCUAGGUGUGGGGGGCCUCUCCGGUUCCCUGUGCCGCAGCUAACGCAUUAAGCGCCCCGCCUGGGGAGUACGGCCGC